AUAGAAUCCACAUUAGAUAAUGCAGCAAAUGAUCAAUUGAGUGGCCCAAAGGAAAUAGUAAUUUUGUAGAGUUUUGUUAGGUAGUUUUUAGAUAGAUAACAAUUAUGUGUUUACAAGGACGUUGCACAGAUAAGAGUGGGGUUAUGUAGAAUAGAUAUUAGUUCAUUUUUGUAAGAUAUUGAUAAAAUAGACUAAUAGUCCAUAGAAUAGUCAGUUCAGAAGGACGGAUGAUUAAUUUAAUUAUUAAAAGUGAUUAAUUAUAGAAUUGCGGUUA
This 274-nucleotide long non-coding RNA is filed under the name Physcomitrium patens. RNAcentral describes it as "long non-coding RNA (PPAT_LNC013004)". Lineage: Eukaryota; Viridiplantae; Streptophyta; Bryopsida; Funariales; Funariaceae. The record is from RNAcentral.